UGACCUUGGGUAUAAUGGGCCCAGCCCCUACACAUACCUUGUUUGUAUGCUGGACAAUGUUUAUGUGAAGUUACAGUAAGAUAUAAGCAAUAGUAACAAAGACAAAGGUUGUAGAAAAACUUAACAAGAGGGCCAAAAUGGCCCUAUAUCGCUCACCUGUUAUCACUGCACUUAAGGACAAGAAGGUCAAAAAAUCAUAAUCAAGAUCAAUCAAAAGAAUUAUGAGAAAAUAUAGUUGAAAUUUUCUUAAAGUUACUUCAAAUAAAAGUAUUUUCAAAUCAGGCCAGUAGUUUCAUGCCCGAAGGAUUACAUCAGAGGAGAUUAGGAGCAAAUUUUUGACUGAUGAAGCCCAAAGGACAGGAACAACUAAGGGAAGAAAUUAAUAAUAAAUCUAAGUCCUCAGAAAAAAUACCUAAGUCCAAAGGACAGGAACAACAAA
Long non-coding RNA from Mercenaria mercenaria, 439 nucleotides. RefSeq lists it as uncharacterized. The record is from RefSeq and is a predicted model, not a curated record. The transcript has 2 exons. NCBI's taxonomy places the organism in Eukaryota, Metazoa, Mollusca, Bivalvia, Venerida, Veneridae.